GGGUCGCUAACUCAAUUGGUAGAGUACUCGGCUUUUAACCGAAUAGUUCUGGGUUCGAGUCCCAGGCGACCCAUCA
Molecule: transfer RNA, 76 nt
Filed under: Cyanobacteria bacterium SW_9_44_58
Lineage: Bacteria; Bacillati; Cyanobacteriota
Description: tRNA-Lys
Rfam family: tRNA
About the family: Transfer RNA (tRNA) molecules are approximately 80 nucleotides in length.
Source: RNAcentral